CCUACGGGAGGCUGCAGUGAGGAAUAUUGGUCAAUGGGCGCGAGCCUGAACCAGCCAAGUAGCGUGAAGGAUGACUGCCCUACGGGUUGUAAACUUCUUUUAUAAAGGAAUAAAGUGAGGCACGUGUGCCUUUUUGUAUGUACCUUAUGAAUAAGGAUCGGCUAACUCCGUGCCAGCAGCCGCGGUAAUACGGAGGAUCCGAGCGUUAUCCGGAUUUAUUGGGUUUAAAGGGUGCGUAGAUGGGUUGUUAAGUCAGUUGUGAAAGUUUGCGGCUCAACCGUAGAAGUGCAAUUGAUACUGGCAGUCUUGAGUACAGUUGAGGUAGGCGGAAUGCGUGGUGUAGCGGUGAAAUGCAUAGAUAUCACGAAGAACUCCGAUUGCGAAGGCAGCUUACUAAACUGCCACUGACAUUGAUGCACGAAAGUGUGGGUAGCAAACAGGAUUAGAUACCCGAGUAGUC
This 460-nucleotide ribosomal RNA is filed under the name uncultured bacterium. RNAcentral describes it as "partial 16S ribosomal RNA". It matches the Rfam family "Bacterial small subunit ribosomal RNA", at positions 338 to 795 of the family's 1533-position model. The record is from RNAcentral.